AGAAGAGGAAGUCGUAACAUGGUAAGCCUACCGGAAGGUGGUCUUGGAAUCAGAACAUAGCUUAACUAAAGCAUUUUGCUUACACCAAAAAAAUAUCUUAUGGAUUGUUCUGAUACUGUAAAUUUAGCCUUAAAACCUUCCCUCUCCUUCACCUAAUUAAACCAUUUAAACUAUGUUAGUAUGAGUGACAGAAAACCUAAUAGCGCAAUAAAUAAAGUACUGCAAAGGAAAAAUGAAAUAGAAAUUAAAUAACACAAAAGUAUAAUAAAGUAAAGAUAAACACUUAUACCUUUUGCAUAAUGAUUUAGCAAGUCUACACCAACAAAAAUAUUUACGCCGGACAUCCCGAAACCAAACGAGCUACCUUAGAGCAGUAACUGAACACACCCUUCUCUGUAGCAAAAGAGUGGGAAGACUCUCAGGUAGAGGUGAAAAACCAAACGAGUAUGGAGAUAGCUGGUUAUUUGGGAAAUGAAUUAAGUUCAACUUAAAACGAAUACACCAACAGGGUAAUAUAUUGCGUUUUCAGUAUAAUAAAUUAGGGUACAGCCUAUUUUAUAAAGGGAACAGCCUAUAUACAUGAAUAAGGAUUAUAAUAUAAUUAAUAAUUGAGUAGGCCUAAAAGCAGCCAUCAAAAAAGCGUCACAGCUUGAUCAUAAAUUAUAAAACAUUUAAAUAAAUUAUCUAAAUUCAAUCCACAACCAAAUCAAUCUAUUUAUAGAUAAGCUACUACUAGAAUGAGUAAUAAGGAACCCCUCUAAAUACACAUGUAAAUCAAAAUGAACUCUCACUGAUAAUUAACGAAAACAUUCAUUCUAACAAGAAACUAAAUUAUAUCUAUCGUUAACCCAACACAGGUGUAUGAAAGAAAGACUCAAAGUUCAAGAAGGAACUCGGCAAACCUAGGCUCCGCCUGUUUACCAAAAACAUCGCCUUUCGAUAAAUUAAUAUGAAAGGUCCUGCCUGCCCAGUGAAAAUAUUUAAACGGCCGCGGUAUUAUGACCGUGCAAAGGUAGCAUAAUCACUUGUCUUUUAAAUUAGGACCAGCAUGAAUGGCAAAACGAAAGCCUGACUGUCUCCUUGAACUAGUCAAUGAAAUUAAUCUUCCCGUGCAGAAGCGGGAAUAAAAAUAUAAGACGAGAAGACCCUGUGGAGCUUAAAAAUAAAAUUAUAUAGAUAUUCUAUAAUAACAUUAAAUUUAGGUUGGGGCGACCAUGAGGUAAAAUAUAACCCUCAAGACAACAAUAAGAAGGACACUUCAAACAAAAUAAAGUUUAUAUAUUGACCCAAUAAUGAUCAACGAACCAAGUUACCCCAGGGAUAACAGCGCAAUCCAUUCCCAAAGUCCAUAUCGACGAAUGGGUUUACGACCUCGAUGUUGGAUCAGGACCCCCAAAUGGUGCAACAGCUAUUAAAGGUUCGUUGUCAACGAUAA
Molecule: ribosomal RNA, 1435 nt
Filed under: Chiropterotriton multidentatus (toothy splayfoot salamander)
Lineage: Eukaryota; Metazoa; Chordata; Amphibia; Caudata; Plethodontidae
Description: partial large subunit ribosomal RNA
Rfam family: Bacterial large subunit ribosomal RNA
Source: RNAcentral